GCUAGAGGUUCUUUUCUAGUCUUACUCAAUGGUUUCUGAUAUGCCGUUAAGAGCCUGCAAACGAUAAUUUGGCCUUUUAACGUUUACAGUGUUAAGGACUUUAAGGUAAAAGAGGUUGUCUGGCAAUUGAGUUUUCCUGAUCCAGUGAACCAGACAAUGGAAAUCAUUGGGGAUUAACAGCAGGGCUAUGUAAUGAUUCUUGAUAU
This 206-nucleotide long non-coding RNA is filed under the name Bos taurus (domestic cattle). RNAcentral's name for it is "long non-coding RNA NONBTAT001655". The record is from RNAcentral. Lineage: Eukaryota; Metazoa; Chordata; Mammalia; Artiodactyla; Bovidae.